Magnolia sinica is the source of this 1403-nucleotide long non-coding RNA. RefSeq lists it as uncharacterized. The record is from RefSeq and is a predicted model, not a curated record. The transcript has 4 exons. NCBI's taxonomy places the organism in Eukaryota, Viridiplantae, Streptophyta, Magnoliopsida, Magnoliales, Magnoliaceae.
AUUCCCCUCUCUCCCCAUUCUCCUCUUUCCCUCUCGUUCUCUCUCCCGAUUCUCCUCUUUCCCUCUCUUUCUCUCUCCCGAUCUCCAUUUCCCUCUCCUCUCUCCUCUCUCUCUCUCUCACCUGCUCCAUCUCUCUCAUUCGCCUCCCUCUCUCUCUGUCCAACGCAUCUCCACCAUCUCUUCUAUCUCCCUCAUGUCAUCUUUUUACUUGGAUCUCCAUUGCAGCAGCCGCCGGAAGGAACCACGCCCACUUCGAAAGCCCCUUUUCAGAUUUUUGUGGCAUUUCUUAAAAUCGAAGGAAUCUAAAGCUCCUCUCUACAGAGAAGCGCAACAGAUUGAAUGAAGUAAGACCCAGCUACUCUGACAUAUGAAGUUAUCGUUCCUUAUGAUAGCUUGGCACCGACUCAUGAAGUUCCAUUUUGGCUUGUUCAUGACAUGGAUGUUCAAGACACCCUUUCAGAUAUAACGUAUGUGCAGGGUCAUAGAUUUGACCAAUCCCUUCAAACCAUGGCUUUUGGAUCAUGGGAUUGAGGGUUCUUAGUUCAAAAAGGAAAAAAGGAAAAAAGAAGAAGAAAGGAGCAAUGUUGGGUUCACAUUUUCCCUACUUGGAUGUAGGUAUUUUCUCAUGACUGCAUGCACGUAGGAAACUAGCUGAAACUUGUGUAGGCAACAUCACCAUCUGAGACUUUUGUACUAUUGUUGCUACUUCUUAGAACCCAAAACUAUAGCUAGAGGUGCAGUUGGACUUGACUGGCUUGCGGCAAGCUUGAGUCCACCCUAGCCAGGUUUGGGCUUAACCUAGAGGAUUACAAGUCACAUGUAAGCAGAGUUUUUAGUCCCACUCAUGUAGAUUGUAUGUAUGUGGAUUACAGAUAUACAAUAAUGGAACAAUGAUGUCACUUCCAUAGAACAAGAAGUUAUCACAGCUUACUACUGAUAAUGCUAGUGGGAAGAUCAACAACUUCGAAGACCUGGAACCGUUAGAGGGAUAGAAGUGCAGACUGAAUUCGAUGAUGAGGUUGAACACAAGGUUAUACUUAUUUAUCAGGCUCAGAUUGUGUUUGGACUUAGUUGAGGGCUCUAAAAAGCGAGGAGAAGGUCCAAAGGGACAUGGAUGGAGUAGUAAGAAGAGACUUGAUGACCGAUGGUCCAAGUAAUUGAAGAUCUUGCCCUUGAUAGAGUAGAAUGGUGGAGCAGGAUUCAUGUAGCUGACCCCAAUUAAGUGGGAUGGGGAUUCAUUUUGUCAUUUUUUUCUUGUUGUGUUGAACUUAGUGUCGGACCUGAAAUUGUAUUCUAAAGGAAUUUAGUUUUGGUCUUUAUUAAACUUCGAAAAUUGUAUUCUAAAGGAAUUUAGUUUUGGCCCAACUCAGCAACAAGACAGCUUCUUCUUCUUCUUUUCUUUU